RNAcentral lists this ribosomal RNA (120 nucleotides) under Salmonella enterica. Its description in RNAcentral is "partial 23S ribosomal RNA". It matches the Rfam family "Bacterial large subunit ribosomal RNA", at positions 566 to 689 of the family's 2925-position model. The record is from RNAcentral. RNAcentral also lists the same sequence under 1 other name. Lineage: Bacteria; Pseudomonadati; Pseudomonadota; Gammaproteobacteria; Enterobacterales; Enterobacteriaceae.
ACAAGCAGAGGGGGCUUAGUGGUGGGGUGACUGCGUACCUUUUGUAUAAUGGGUCAGCGACUUAUAUUCUGUAGCAAGGUUAACCGAAUAGGGGAGCCGGAGGGAAACCGAGUCUUAAUU